AACGAACGCUGGCGGCAGGCUUAACACAUGCAAGUCGAACGCUCCGCAAGGAGAGUGGCAGACGGGUGAGUAACGCGUGGGGAUCUACCCAGAUCUACGGAACAACAGUUGGAAACGACUGCUAAUACCGUAUACGCCCUACGGGGGAAGGAUUUAUCGGAUUUGGAUGAGCCCGCGUAAGAUUAGCUAGUUGGUGGGGU
RNAcentral lists this ribosomal RNA (200 nucleotides) under uncultured bacterium. RNAcentral describes it as "partial 16S ribosomal RNA". It matches the Rfam family "Bacterial small subunit ribosomal RNA", at positions 29 to 258 of the family's 1533-position model. The record is from RNAcentral.